ACACUCCUGCGGGAGGCAGCAGUGGGGAAUUUUGGACAAUGGGGGCAACCCUGAUCCAGCAAUGCCGCGUGAGUGAAGAAGGCCUUCGGGUUGUAAAGCUCUUUUGUCAGGGAAGAAACGGUGGUGGCGAAUAACUACUACUAAUGACGGUACCUGAAGAAUAAGCACCGGCUAACUACGUGCCAGCAGCCGCGGUAAUACGUAGGGUGCAAGCGUUAAUCGGAAUUACUGGGCGUAAAGCGUGCGCAGGCGGUUGUGUAAGUCAGAUGUGAAAUCCCCGGGCUCAACCUGGGAAUUGCAUUUGAGACUGCACGGCUAGAGUGUGUCAGAGGGGGGUAGAAUUCCACGUGUAGCAGUGAAAUGCGUAGAUAUGUGGAGGAAUACCGAUGGCGAAGGCAGCCCCCUGGGAUAACACUGACGCUCAUGCACGAAAGCGUGGGGAGCAAACAGGAUUAGAUACCCCGGUAGUCCCAUG
RNAcentral lists this ribosomal RNA (475 nucleotides) under uncultured organism. Its description in RNAcentral is "partial 16S ribosomal RNA". It matches the Rfam family "Bacterial small subunit ribosomal RNA", at positions 333 to 799 of the family's 1533-position model. The record is from RNAcentral.